UUUAAAGAGAGUUUGAUCCUGGCUCAGGACGAACGCUGGCGGCGUGCCUAAUACAUGCAAGUCGAACGAACGGAGGAAGAGCUUGCUCUUCCAAAGUUAGUGGCGGACGGGUGAGUAACACGUGGGCAACCUGCCUGUAAGUUGGGGAUAACUCCGGGAAACCGGGGCUAAUACCGAAUGAUAAAGUUUGGCGCAUGCCAUGCUUUUGAAAGAUGGUUUCGGCUAUCGCUUACAGAUGGGCCCGCGGUGCAUUAGCUAGUUGGUAGGGUAAUGGCCUACCAAGGCAACGAUGCAUAGCCGACCUGAGAGGGUGAUCGGCCACACUGGG
RNAcentral lists this ribosomal RNA (328 nucleotides) under Listeria monocytogenes. Its description in RNAcentral is "bacterial SSU rRNA". It matches the Rfam family "Bacterial small subunit ribosomal RNA", at positions 1 to 317 of the family's 1533-position model. The record is from RNAcentral. Lineage: Bacteria; Bacillati; Bacillota; Bacilli; Caryophanales; Listeriaceae.